GAUGAACGCUGGCGGCGUGCCUAAUACAUGCAAGUCGAGCGAACGGACGAGAAGCUUGCUUCUCUGAUGUUAGCGGCGGACGGGUGAGUAACACGUGGAUAACCUACCUAUAAGACUGGGAUAACUUCGGGAAACCGGAGCUAAUACCGGAUAAUAUUUUGAACCGCAUGGUUCAAAAGUGAAAGACGGUCUUGCUGUCACUUAUAGAUGGAUCCGCGCUGCAUUAGCUAGUUGGUAAGGUAACGGCUUACCAAGGCAACGAUGCAUAGCCGACCUGAGAGGGUGAUCGGCCACACUGGAACUGAGACACGGUCCAGACUCCUACGGGAGGCAGCAGUAGGGAAUCUUCCGCAAUGGGCGAAAGCCUGACGGAGCAACGCCGCGUGAGUGAUGAAGGUCUUCGGAUCGUAAAACUCUGUUAUUUGGGAAGAACAUAUGUGUAAGUAACUGUGCACAUCUUGACGGUACCUUAUCAGAAAGCCACGGGUGACUACGUG
RNAcentral lists this ribosomal RNA (497 nucleotides) under uncultured bacterium. RNAcentral describes it as "partial 16S ribosomal RNA". It matches the Rfam family "Bacterial small subunit ribosomal RNA", at positions 28 to 507 of the family's 1533-position model. The record is from RNAcentral.